UACGUAGGGGGCGAGCGUUGUCCGGAUUCAUUGGGCGUAAAGAGCUCGUAGGCGGCUUGGCAAGUCGGAUGUGAAAACUCCAGGCUCAACCUGGAGCCGCCAUUCGAUACUGCUAUGGCUAGAGUCCGGUAGGGGAGUGUGGAAUUCCGGGUGUAGCGGUGGAAUGCGUAGAGAUCCGGAAGAACACCGGUGGCGAAGGCGGCUCGCUGGGCAGUGGCUGACGCUGAGGCGCGACAGCGUGGGGAGCAAACAGG
Molecule: ribosomal RNA, 254 nt
Filed under: uncultured bacterium
Lineage: Bacteria
Description: partial 16S ribosomal RNA
Rfam family: Bacterial small subunit ribosomal RNA
Source: RNAcentral